UACUGAUCAGCUACUGAUGCAAGACUUUAUCUGUUGGAUAUUAGUAUACCUUCUAUUUUUUUCGUAUUUCUUGUAUUUCUUAUACUGCUGUUAUUUUGUUAUUUUAUGUUAUAUUAUGUAUUUUAUGUUACUUUAGUAUGAGUCUAUUGAUAGUACUAAUAUAUCGUCUCUUGUUGCUUUCUUGAGCCGAUGGUCUCCUGGAAACAUCCUCUCUGCCCCUCGGGGUAGGGGUAAGGUCUGCGUACAUAUUACCCUCUCCAGACCCACUUGUGGGAUUAUAUUGGGUUGUUGUUGUUGUUGUUGUUGAUAUAAGUCCGACAACACCAUUUCAAUUGAGAUCAUUUCCUUUAUCCAUAUUUGUAAACUUUAAGACCAAAUUUUUUACACUCCAAUCAUUUCUAGAAAGGUUUGAUUUUCACGUCAACACACGAUAUUAGUCCCGACUAGCUAUAGCAACUCGUGCCUACCCACCCAUCAAAUACGAGGUAUUACAUUCUCCUCCACUUAGGGUCAUUCGUCCUUAAAUGAGAAGCAUAGUCCGUCUUCAAACACAUAAUGUAACUUAUCUCUUUCUUUGUAUAUCUCAAUAUCCCAAAUUUUUCUAAUUCCCAAAUUUUUCAGAAAUUUCGGCAGAGUCUCCCCUGUAAUUGGUACUAUCUACCUGUCAGAGUAACACCAAAGCAACUCCUAACAACAUUUCCACAACCCGACAAAGCACCACAAAGUAUAUAUCAAUAACACUAAUCUUCGCAUUACAAACACGACAUUAUCACAAUGAUAUCUUGACAUAGAACGCAUCAUAUGUAUGACCAUAACCACAUCUAUGGUCUUAAUAGUUGUUCAUAAUAGAUUACAACAUCACCAAUUAACCUCAUGUUAACAAAAUUCCAUUUUAAACCUCCAAUUUACUAACAACAAGGCAUGGAGAUCUCAUAAUUACUUACCCGAAUUAACGAGUAGCAAUUUACAUCCUCCGGGCACUCACCUCGUAGUCUAAAACUCAAUAAUUAC
This 1011-nucleotide long non-coding RNA is filed under the name Nicotiana benthamiana. RNAcentral describes it as "long non-coding RNA (NBEN_LNC041465)". The record is from RNAcentral. Lineage: Eukaryota; Viridiplantae; Streptophyta; Magnoliopsida; Solanales; Solanaceae.